AAAUUGAAGAGUUUGAUCAUGGCUCAGAUUGAACGCUGGCGGCAGGCCUAACACAUGCAAGUCGAACGGUAACAGGAAACAGCUUGCUGUUUCGCUGACGAGUGGCGGACGGGUGAGUAAUGUCUGGGAAACUGCCUGAUGGAGGGGGAUAACUACUGGAAACGGUAGCUAAUACCGCAUAACGUCGCAAGACCAAAGAGGGGGACCUUAGGGCCUCUUGCCAUCGGAUGUGCCCAGAUGGGAUUAGCUAGUAGG
Molecule: ribosomal RNA, 255 nt
Filed under: Escherichia coli
Lineage: Bacteria; Pseudomonadati; Pseudomonadota; Gammaproteobacteria; Enterobacterales; Enterobacteriaceae
Description: partial 16S ribosomal RNA
Rfam family: Bacterial small subunit ribosomal RNA
Source: RNAcentral